GGCUUCCUAUAGCCCAGAGGUCUGCAGGGUUGUCUCAGCUGUAGUUAAUUACAAGGACUUGCAGGUGAUGAAGGUUCGGCAGGAUUUCAGCAUGUCUUCACCCAAUUUGUGAGGUUCAUUUCCGAGAAGGGCAGGAUGUAUUUGCCAACACGCUGCCACCUUCGCACACGGUGAGAGUUCAUUGCGAGCCUCACAAAGCCGGUCUCGGUUGGCACGGCCUCUGCCAGCAGAUGUGGAGGGGGAAAAAAAUCCCCCAAACCUGUUGGUGCUGUGCUCCGAGAUGAAUGACGCUAGCACUGAAAUUACGGGCAAGCAGUCAGAGAGCAACCUUCAGGUCUGCAGAGCAGCUUUCGUUUUAAUUACGUUUACCUGUGCCUAGUUUCAAACCAUGGCUGAGGUCGCCUCACGUCUGUGCCUGGUGGAGCCGAGGUCCUCAUUCACAGAAAAGGGCCUGAAGUGUAAUAUUGCAGCAUCUCACCCCAUUAACCACUUCUGAAGCUCACAGUGUUUUCCAGAAGUUCCUGGGAUCUACUUAAACAACUUAAAGCCUUUCUUCCUAUGGAAUAAGACACAUUGAGGUUCGAUAACGCUAUUUAUAUUGGCAAAAUUUCUCUGUCACGCUAACAGAUGUAAAUUCAGGUUAUUACAGGUAACCCCUUCCCCCCCCCAUCUCAAUCAGGAAGCUGUCCAGCUGCAAAGCAAUCACUACAUCACAAGGUUUGGAAAUGUUCCCUCCAGAUACUGACUUAGGUUAGGUAGGGGAGGAAAUCUUGACUUUUUUCUGCUCCCAGUGAAAAUACACCUAGUCAUGACACUGGAAAGGUAAAGUGAGUACAGGCUAACUCAGUGCGGAGCAGAACGUGGAUGUGAAGUGCUGACUUCAGACUAAAAUGAUGACAAAUCAUUAAAAGAGUUUUAGCAGACAUUUCUUAUAGAGUGCUGAAAAGAAAAGGAAAAGAAAAGAAGAAAGGAAAGGAAAGGAAAAGAAAAGAGAAGAAAAG
Molecule: long non-coding RNA, 1001 nt
Organism: Anas platyrhynchos (mallard)
Lineage: Eukaryota; Metazoa; Chordata; Aves; Anseriformes; Anatidae
Source: RefSeq, a predicted model, not a curated record